Molecule: ribosomal RNA, 293 nt
Filed under: uncultured Planctomycetota bacterium
Lineage: Bacteria; Pseudomonadati; Planctomycetota
Description: uncultured planctomycete partial 16S ribosomal RNA
Source: RNAcentral
GGACUACCAGGGUUUCUAAUCCCGUUCGCUCCCCUGGCUUUCGCGUCUCAGCGUCAGGUGGGGUCCAGGAGCCCGCUUUCGCCACGGGCGUUCCUUCCGAUCUCAACGCAUUUCACCGCUCCACCGGAAGUUCCGGCUCCCCCUACCCCCCUCCAGGCCGGUCGUAUCGGUGCCACUUCCCCGGUUAAGCCGGGGGCUUUCAACAUCCGACGUGCCGGCCCGCCUACACGCGCUUUAAGCCCAGUGAUUCCGAAUAACGUUCGCACGGUUCGUCUUACCGCGGCUGCUGGCAC